GACGGAGGGUGCUAGCGUUGUUCGGAAUUACUGGGCGUAAAGGGCGCGUAGGCAGCUACGGCAGUCGGGUGUGAAAGCCCGGGGCUCAACCCCGGAACUGCAUCCGAUACUCUGUGGCUAGAGACCGGAAGAGGUGGGUGGAAUACCCAGUGUAGAGGUGAAAUUCGUAGAUAUUGGGUGGAACACCGGUGGCGAAAGCGGCUCACUGGUCCGGUUCUGACGCUGAGGCGCGAAAGCGUGGGGAGCAAACAGG
RNAcentral lists this ribosomal RNA (253 nucleotides) under uncultured bacterium. Its description in RNAcentral is "partial 16S ribosomal RNA". It matches the Rfam family "Bacterial small subunit ribosomal RNA", at positions 524 to 776 of the family's 1533-position model. The record is from RNAcentral.